Molecule: long non-coding RNA, 938 nt
Filed under: Oreochromis niloticus (Nile tilapia)
Lineage: Eukaryota; Metazoa; Chordata; Actinopteri; Cichliformes; Cichlidae
Description: lncRNA (ENSONIG00000036462.1)
Source: RNAcentral
GUGGAGUAAUGCACGAAUGGAUAAAAAAGAGUGAGCUGUUGAGGAGCAAAUGGAGAUCCGUGUCCAGGGGAGUGAUGCUAUUGCGAGUGUGAAAGGUUGUCCAGGAAGUAACUAAGAAGACAUGAACAGAGAGGUGGUGAUCCUCAGAGGACCGAUGAAGUAGAGCAGCCAGCACCCCAAGUAGAGCAGGCACUGUGGAAAAAUAGUUGUGACUCAACUAGACCAUUACAAAGUAUGGCCUGGAGGAUUUUCAUCUCAAGGUGCAAGAACAUUCUUAAUGACUGUACACGGCAGCUGCUGAUGGACGAUGUUGGGCCAGAUGUGCUACAGUUAGCGUUAAGGAGGUUGGAGACAAUGCAGAGAAGCCUUCAGUGGGCAAGAGGAAGACUGAUCAAUGUAACUGCAGCAGAUCAACUUCUGCGUGACUUGGCUGAAUUGAUUCAGGAUGUCGAACUGUCUACUCAGCAUGGGCAACAAGGCUGUUUUGGAUACCAGGCACCAGUGGUUUUCAGCAGAGGUAGAGGUAGAUCCCUUUACCUUAUCACUCGGGAACAGCUUUCAUUCCUGAAGUCAUGUGGAUUCACUGCACCUCAGAUGGCUGAUAUUUUGAGUGUUUCACUUCGUACAAUUUGAAGACGUCUGCGACAGUAUCAUUUCACCCGUGCAUCAAUGUAUGCGGAACUGACUGACAGUGCCUUGGAUGAACAUGUGCAGGACAUUGUCGCUGGCAAUGAACAAACUGGUCCUGAGGCUGUCAGAGCCUCCCUGCGAGUACGUGGACUACGUGUACAGCGAAGGAGGGUUUGAGCAAGCAUGUUACGGAUGAAUCCUGGAGCAGCUGCCCUUAGAGCAGUUUUGCGGAGACCAGAACGAAGAACAUAUCAGGUUGCAGGUCCAAACUCAUUGUGGCACAUUGCUGGAAAUCACAAGCUGAUAAG